UCCUACUGGUCUGUGUGAAUAUUGUCUAGAGGAGGAAUCAGUGGAGCAUGUGUUAUGUCAUUGCCGAAAGUAUAAUACAGAAAGAGAAAUAUUGAGAAGGACACCACAGGACACAUUAACUGUUGAGCAAAUACUUGGACAAUCAGGAGGUUAUCAUUCUUUAAUUAUGUUUUUGAAGGAAACUGGCUUAAUAAACAGAAUUUAAAUUAUCUCAUUAAAGGAAAUUAAUUAUCUGAUGUUGUAUUAAUAUUAUAAUUAUUAUUGUUAGUCAUUUGUAUUAAAUAUAUAUGUAGUUUUUUAUUUUUUAUUUUUAUUAUUAUUAUUAUUUUUUUUUUUUUUAUUAGUUUGGGUAGAUACUCUAGUUCACACUCCAGCAUAGUAGGUGGCGGUAUUGCACCUUAACGUUGGAUGCCACCCGCCAUAAAACAUAAGAAGAAGAAGAAGAAGAAGAAGAAGUUACCAUGGAAACGAGGCUACUAGGAACAACAGAAAGCGGCAAAGCUCCGUGUUUCUUAUGGUUUUCUUCACAUUUUCAGGAGUGACAAAAUAACCCCUCUAUAAUAAAAAAGAAGCUCAAGAUUUCAGCAUUUUGGAAGGGAGCUGCUGACAGAGAUGUUGAAAACUCAGAUUUGUCCAUGCUGAUGGCCAUGCACCAGAGUUCAAGCAAACCUUUCAGAAAACAUCUCUAAGGGGCUAUGUAUGAACCAUAUGGCUAGUAAGUAAGACCUCAAACUUAAACACUACUGUUCAAAAGGCUGUGAUUUAUUUAUUUGACAAAAAUACAGUGAAAACAGAAAUGUUGUGAAAUUAUCACAAUUUAGAUGAGCUGUUUUGUUUGUGAAUAUGUAGUUAAGUAUAAUUUCUGUGAUGCAAAACAGAAUCUUUACUCUCACUUAUAACAAACAGAAGUGCAACUUACCAUUUUAAGGUAACACUAAAAUAACACUAAACUAUUUCUUAACACAACAAUCAACUUUGAUAAUAAUUAGAAAUGUUUCUUGAGCAGCAAAUCAUCAUAUUAGAAUGAACUUUGAUUGAUGAUGAGACACUGAAGACUGGAGUAAUGAUGCUGAAAAUUCAACAUUAAUCACAGGAAUAAAUUACAACUUACAAUAUAUUCAUAUAAUAAAAGACGUAAAAAAAUCUGAACCUAAACCUUUGAAUGGUAUUGUAAAUUAUAGUUAUGAUGGCUUGUUCCUCCAAAUUAAAGGCUCAAAAGAGGAUGUUUCCGCCGACUGAGAAUCCAAAGACCGUUACUGAGUUUUUUAAAUAAGCGCAUGCAUAAGAACAGCCUCCCUCCUUCACAGCUCAUUUCUAGGGAACGCCUUCCAAAACUCGUGCACGAGUAUUUGAACACGAGUGUUUGUUUACCACUAGCAUAUGCUGUGUCGCGUCAGUGGAUUCAUUAUGUGAAAUUAUAUGAUAAUAAACACAUAAGAUGUAAAGUUAGAUCAAUCGACGCUACUCCCAUUUCAACUAGCAUGUAGCGGACUGGUCACUUACAACUACAGUACAAGAACAACGUCGAUAUACCUGAAUAACAAUACAACAAUAAUUAUUCCACAAAGAAAGAAUAAUCACAGUUACCUGUCGAAAAGAAUUUUUGCGACAUGUGCAUCUGUCUUGACACCUCUCUGUUCCUUCAUUGCUCUCCAGCGUUGAAAUGUUUCUCCAUUAACGACUCUGGUUUGUUUACGUUAUUCUGACAAUUUUCUCCUCUUCUCAGCGACUUAAAAACUCUUUCUUUUAUGUCCUCCUUCGGGUUUCUUCUCUUCCAUGGUGCAAAUUCGAGGAGGAAAGCAGGAGCGACAAUGAAAACAAACCGAAACUAAAGACGGAGUUUCAUGUGUAAAGUUACUGGAGCGUGCACGUUUCACACAAGGAACGUAAAUGGCAGUGAUUGACAAGCCAGAGGGCCAAUCGUUGACGCGAUGAUUGCAUCAACGAUUGGCUGAUGUUUUUAAGGCCCUACCUUAUGCACAGAUGACAUAUAUUAAUUUUAUUACUUUCAGUGCGCCUAAUAAAUAGCCUUUUAUCAUUUAGUAAAGACAUUUUUAAGUAAUAUUGCAAAAAUGUAUUAAACAAACAUCCUCUUUUCCACCUUUAAUGAUACUAUUGCAUAUGUAGUUUGUUCCAUAUAGAGCAGGGCUAGUCAACUGGCGGCCCGCGGGCCAAGUGCGGCCCGCCAAUCAUCUUUAUCCGGCCCGCCGGUCACCUUUGGCCGUUUCUCAAUCGGAAGGCUGCAGCCUCCGGAGGUCGCAUAUGCAAACUGCAUAUGUCAUCAAGUUUAAGUUAACUGAGCAUUACAUUCACAAAUCAUAAGCAUAUUACAACAAUUUACGAUUAACUAAGAAUAAUAGUCAACUUUAUAAUUGUUAAAAUUCUGAAAUAAGACUUAAUGACGUAUGCAGCCUGGAAAUGCGACCUCCGAGGC
Molecule: long non-coding RNA, 2434 nt
Organism: Misgurnus anguillicaudatus (oriental weatherfish)
Lineage: Eukaryota; Metazoa; Chordata; Actinopteri; Cypriniformes; Cobitidae
Source: RefSeq, a predicted model, not a curated record